AGAGUUUGAUCCUGGCUCAGGACGAACGCUGGCGGCGUGCUUAACACAUGCAAGUCGAACGAUGAACUCCAGCUUGCUGGGGGGAUUAGUGGCGAACGGGUGAGUAACACGUGAGUAACCUGCCCUGGACUCUGGGAUAACCCCGAGAAAUCGGAGCUAAUACCGGAUAGGACCCUGGACCGCAUGGUUUGGGGUGGAAAGUUUUUCGGUCUGGGAUGGACUCGCGGCCUAUCAGCUUGUUGGUGAGGUAAUGGCUCACCAAGGCGUCGACGGGUAGCCGGCCUGAGAGGGUGACCGGCCACACUGGGACUGAGACACGGCCCAGACUCCUACGGGAGGCAGCAGUGGGGAAUAUUGCACAAUGGGCGCAAGCCUGAUGCAGCAACGCCGCGUGAGGGAUGACGGCCUUCGGGUUGUAAACCUCUUUUAGUAAGGAAGAAGGGGAGCUUGCUCCUUGACG
This 460-nucleotide ribosomal RNA is filed under the name uncultured Agromyces sp. RNAcentral's name for it is "bacterial SSU rRNA". It matches the Rfam family "Bacterial small subunit ribosomal RNA", at positions 8 to 474 of the family's 1533-position model. Lineage: Bacteria; Bacillati; Actinomycetota; Actinomycetes; Micrococcales; Microbacteriaceae. The record is from RNAcentral.